RNAcentral lists this ribosomal RNA (500 nucleotides) under uncultured Glomeromycotina. RNAcentral describes it as "partial small subunit ribosomal RNA". It matches the Rfam family "Eukaryotic small subunit ribosomal RNA", at positions 591 to 1092 of the family's 1831-position model. The record is from RNAcentral. Lineage: Eukaryota; Fungi; Glomeromycota.
CCAAUAGCGUAUAUUAAAGUUGUUGCAGUUAAAAAGCUCGUAGUUGAAUUUCGGGGUUAGUAGGUUGGUCGUGCCACUGGUAUGUACUGGUUCUACUGAUCCCUCCUUCUUGUAGAACCGUUAUGCCAUUAAUUUGGUGUUGCGGGGAAACAGGACUGUUACUUUGAAAAAAUUAGAGUGUUUAAAGCAGGCUAACGCUUGAAUACAUUAGCAUGGAAUAAUGAAAUAGGACGAUCGAUCCUAUUUUGUUGGUUUCUAGGAUUGACGUAAUGAUUAAUAGGGAUAGUUGGGGGCAUUAGUAUUCAAUUGUCAGAGGUGAAAUUCUUGGAUUUAUUGAAGACUAACUACUGCGAAAGCAUUUGCCAAGGAUGUUCUCAUUAAUCAAGAACGAAAGUUAGGGGAUCGAAGACGAUCAGAUACCGUCGUAGUCUUAACCAUAAACUAUGCCGACUAGGGAUCGGAUGAUGUUAAUUUUUUAAUGACUCAUUCGGCGCCUUACG